GUAGGUGGCAAGCGUUGUCCGGAAUUAUUGGGCGUAAAGCCCGCGCAGGCGGUCCUUAAGGUCUGAUGUGAAAGCCCACGGGCUCAACCGUGGAGGGUCAUUGGAAGCUGGGGGACUUGAGUACAGAAGAGGAAAGCGGAAUUCCAAGUGUAGCGGUGAAAUGCGUAGAGAUUUGGAGGAACACCAGUGGCGAAGGCGGCUUUCUGGUCUGUAACUGACGCUGAGGCGCGAAAGCGUGGGGAGCAAACAGGAUUAGAUACCCUGGUAGUCCACGCCGUAAACGAUGAGUGCUAAGUGUUAGGGGGUUUCCGCCCCUUAGUGCUGCAGCUAACGCAUUAAGCACUCCGCCUGGGGAGUACGGCCGCAAAGGCUGA
RNAcentral lists this ribosomal RNA (374 nucleotides) under uncultured organism. RNAcentral describes it as "partial 16S ribosomal RNA". It matches the Rfam family "Bacterial small subunit ribosomal RNA", at positions 527 to 897 of the family's 1533-position model. The record is from RNAcentral.